GAUGAACGCUGGCGGCGUGCCUAAUACAUGCAAGUCGAGCGAACGGACGAGAAGCUUGCUUCUCUGAUGUUAGCGGCGGACGGGUGAGUAACACGUGGAUAACCUACCUAUAAGACUGGGAUAACUUCGGGAAACCGGAGCUAAUACCGGAUAAUAUUUUGAACCGCAUGGUUCAAAAGUGAAAGACGGUCUUGCUGUCACUUAUAGAUGGAUCCGCGCUGCAUUAGCUAGUUGGUAAGGUAACGGCUUACCAAGGCAACGAUGCAUAGCCGACCUGAGAGGGUGAUCGGCCACACUGGAACUGAGACACGGUCCAGACUCCUACGGGAGGCAGCAGUAGGGAAUCUUCCGCAAUGGGCGAAAGCCUGACGGAGCAACGCCGCGUGAGAGAUGAAGGUCCUCGGAUCGUAAAACUCUGUUAUUAGGGAAGAACAUAUGUGUAAGUAACUGUGCACAUCUUGACGGUACCUAAUCAGAAAGCCACGGCUAACUACGUG
This 497-nucleotide ribosomal RNA is filed under the name uncultured bacterium. RNAcentral's name for it is "partial 16S ribosomal RNA". It matches the Rfam family "Bacterial small subunit ribosomal RNA", at positions 28 to 507 of the family's 1533-position model. The record is from RNAcentral.